RNAcentral lists this transfer RNA (73 nucleotides) under Actinomycetota bacterium. RNAcentral's name for it is "tRNA-Trp". It matches the Rfam family "tRNA". From Rfam's summary of the family: Transfer RNA (tRNA) molecules are approximately 80 nucleotides in length. RNAcentral also lists the same sequence under 1 other name. Lineage: Bacteria; Bacillati; Actinomycetota. The record is from RNAcentral.
AGGGGCGUAGCACAACUGGCAGUGCGCCCGCCUCCAAAGCGGGAGGUUGCAGGUUCGAGUCCUGCCGCCCCUG